Molecule: long non-coding RNA, 770 nt
Filed under: Elaeis guineensis (African oil palm)
Lineage: Eukaryota; Viridiplantae; Streptophyta; Magnoliopsida; Arecales; Arecaceae
Description: long non-coding RNA (EGUI_LNC032301)
Source: RNAcentral
GGGCUGUAAAGCUCACACUCCUUCAUUUUCUUUUUCUUCUUAGAGUUACAAGAUGUCCAUGAUUGGCUAUGGUAUGGAUUUGUGAGUGAGCGGAUGCAUAGAUAGAGUACCGUUGAUACCUGAUCAGAGGAUUGAAGGAAUGUUAAUUGUAAUUAUGCAAGUUUUAUGAAUUAUUGUUGAAAUAAAUUAUUAUGGUUGAUAAGGUUGUAAUGAUUUAAUUUGGCCUUGCAUAUUCUUUAGGGCUUGCUCUAAGGAGUGUGCGACCAUCACGUAUCCGACCCGGGUGUUGGGUUCGGGGCGUGAUAGAAUGGUAUUAGAGCUUAGGAUAUGAUCAUUAGGGAUUAUGAUAUAAGUGAUUAGAAUAUUACAGAAUGGUAUCAGAGCUUAGAUUAUGAUCAUUGGAGAUUACGAUAUAAAUGAUUAGGAUGUGAUAGAAUAAUAUCAAAGCUUAGGUUUAAGAUCACUAGAGAUUAUGAAGAGAUAUUAAAACUUUAUGUAAGAUCAAUAGGAUGUGACAGAGUGGCAUUUGAGCUUAGAGCUUAGGUUACGUUUAUUCGGAGACAAUGAUACAAGUGAUUAGGAUAUGACAGAACAGUACUAGAGCCCAAGUUUAAGGUCACUAGGGAUUGUCAUAUAAGUGAUAUCAAAAUUUUGGGAUUAUAAUCACUAAAGUAUGAUUGAUAAUAUCAGAGUUUAAGAUUUUGAUCAUUAAAGGUAUGAUAGAAUGAUAUUAGAGUUUAGGUUAUGAUCACUAGAAAAUAUGAUUUAAG